UCACUUUUAGCCUAGUGGUUAAAGUACUUGACUAGAACCCAGAAGGUUGGUGGUUCAAGCCCCAGACAAUGAG
Molecule: non-coding RNA, 73 nt
Organism: Albula goreensis
Lineage: Eukaryota; Metazoa; Chordata; Actinopteri; Albuliformes; Albulidae
Source: the annotation of a GenBank genome assembly